This 2732-nucleotide long non-coding RNA is filed under the name Oryza brachyantha (malo sina). Its description in RNAcentral is "long non-coding RNA (OBRA_LNC000605)". The record is from RNAcentral. Lineage: Eukaryota; Viridiplantae; Streptophyta; Magnoliopsida; Poales; Poaceae.
UCAGCUCUCCCGACGGCGACGACGACCCCAUCCCGUGCUCCUCGGGGACGAUGCCCUGAAAACAAAACAACCAGACGCCAUGUCAUCCACCGUAACGUAAAUACGUGCAUGAUCCGUAAUCAUCAGGCCGUGACGGAGAUAUCAAGUGGAAGCCUCGGAAUGCGCGAAAGGGUUUCGUCGUCGCUGCAUGCAUGGUCCCAUGCAUGGAAUGGAAGAUGUUGUCUAGGGUUUCCCAGAGCUAGCAGCCGGCCUAAAGUACAAACUGCAACAAUGCAUAGCUUAGGCCAUCAUCAAUGCAAGUUUUAUAAGCACAAUUACCUAGAGUGGUAUGUCAUCUUAACAGUUUGAAACUAAGAUAAAACAUCACUCUCUUAAUGCAUAUUGUUGUUUACUAGGUUACAUGUAAGACAUAAGGUGUCUAUGUAAUAAAAGGUUUUAUCUCUAUGAAACUAAUUCCAUCUCUCUCUUUAUUAAUAUUUUAUCACAUCAUCAAACAUGUAUACAUGACAACCUAUUUAUUGCCUAUGAAACUCUCACUGAAACUGGUUUUAUGAUGGAGGCAUCAAGUUGGAUUAAAGCAUAGAUUUGGGCUCGAUCCUAGGGCAGACCGUCCUUUAGAUUCACAUCGAUCUCACUUGGGUCUGUUUGUCUUUACAUCACGUGCUAAAGGUACAGCAAAUAUAUGUGAUUUUUGCAUUGGUGAUAGGGCCCAAUUGUACUUGUCUUGAUCUCUUAAUCACUUCCGUGAAUUUGAUCGAUAUGAUUACAUGUACGCUAGACCCGUAGGGAGAUGCAACAAUAUGGCAGCAUGCAUUGUGUCGUUAAUUUGUUGCUAGUCUAGCUAUAUACUCCUAUCACCUAUACUAUGAGCUUAAUUAGUUCUUCAGCAUGUACAGUACGUACUGGCAGGCCUUGUAAGCUAAACAAUAAAUAAUGCUUAACAUUCUUCAUGUUCCUUCGCACAUGCCACCUAAUUGUUGUUUUGUUUAAUGAGCAAAUCAGGAGAUACCAUUUUUUUAUAUAAAAAUUGGUACCUCCUAGUACCUAAGAUACUAAAUUUUAUAUUAAAAUUUUGAUACCUUUUGAUGCAUUCUUAAGGACUGUAAAAUUGCUCUUAUUUAAUUUGUCUCUCUUAUUUAUAUAUUUUGAAUAGAUCGAUGUAGCUUAGCCAUAUUCUAAGUUAAAUUAAAAUUUAACAGAUCAUACGAUCAAACCGUACUUGUUUGAAUCUCUUUUAGCCUAUGUUAUUGCUUUUGCUUGCAGUGCCAGAAUCUUUAAGAUCAGACACUUUCCACGGUUUCUCGAAAUGGAUAUCAAUGUCAGUUGGCACAUAUAUAUUACACUAUUUCACUGCUAUUUUGCUAUUGUAGUAGUGUUUUCAUCCGGAAGGUUUAUGCAUGAUUAAUAUUAUACUGUUCGCAAUAGAUUUGCCAUGGAUAUACUUCAAACAGUAGUUCUAGUUCGCAUGCAUAGGUAGAUUAAUUAUGAGAACAGAUACCCAACAGUGCUACGAAUUGUAACUAAAGGCGAAUUGAGAUACUGCAUGCAAGGUCGGUUGUAAAAUCUUUGUGGAAUAAAAGAGAAGGAAUGAAAACACAAAACAAAACCGUGGACUGCCCUAAAAACGUUGGAGUAAAUAUUCGUUAAUUAAAACAACGGACAUAAAACAACCAAACAACGUGUGGAGCGAAUGCACAGCGUUAGCUAUCCUAGCUGGAAACAGCAGAUAUAUAUAUAUAUAUAUAUAUAUAUANNNNNNNNNNNNNNNNNNNNNNNNNNNNNNNNNNNNNNNNNNNNNNNNNNNNNNNNNNNNNNNNNNNNNNNNNNNNNNNNNNNNNNNNNNNNNNNNNNNNNNNNNNNNNNNNUAUAUAUAUAUAUAUGCGAUAAUUUCAACACUAGAAUCCGAUCGAUUAAUCAAAAUUCGGAUGAGAUACUGGUGUCAUGAUUCAAGGUGUACAACGUAGUUAAAUCAUCUGUAUCAAAUAAGGAGAUCGAUACAGAUCCAAUACUUGAGCGGUCAUUUUUUUUUGUUUAAUUCUUGCUCUGGAUAUCGAUUUAGUUAAUUAGCAUGCAUAUACUUAUGACAUAUAUGACCAACUACUCAAGUUUGUCCUAUGGAGAAACUAUAUGCAUGAAAAUCGCUAGCUAGCUAGCUAGAUAACGAUCGACGCAUCGAUCUGACCAUUUGAAAUCUUAACACGGGCAAUAAGUAAAAUGUAAUAAAUAUGCUUUUUUUUUAAGAACAUGGGAAUUGGAGAGGCAGCCAGCGAUAUAUACUCAUACUACAGCUGCUAUGCAGUUAUAUAUGUACACACUUGAACGCGAGACUGCAUGCAUCGAUGCGAAAUCGAGUGCACAGUUGGGAGAAAACGUACAUACCUUGAGCCAGUCGGAGUCCAUGCAAAUAUGCAUCGGGGGAGCUCCUGCCAUCAUCGAUCGCCGCCUCUUUCCUCUAGCUAUAUAUCUGCCGUCGUGCUGUUCUGCCGAAUCAAAGUUACGUUCAAGCAAAGAAAAACCUAUACGUAGAUUAGAUAGAUGAUACUCCUGCGACUAUCUCUGCCGGGUGAUUAACUAACACUACUCCAUGCGAUGCACUAGGAUUGUCGACGAAUAAUCGAAGGAUAGACGACGGAACACAAUUAGCACAAUAAGAGAGCUCGGACUAAUCGAUGGAUCUAGCUAGUAAGAAGAACAUAGCAACAACAACAAGAAGAAGCUAGCUAGCUAGGUAG